AUACGGAGGGUGCAAGCGUUACUCGGAAUCACUGGGCGUAAAGCGCGCGCAGGCGGCUAUUUAAGUUGGAUGUGAAAGUCUACGGCUCAACCGUAGAACUGCAUCCAAAACUAUUUAGCUAGAGUGUGAGAGAGGAAGAUGGAAUUAGUUGUGUAGGGGUAAAAUCCGUAGAGAUAACUAGGAAUACCAAAAGCGAAGGCAAUCUUCUGGAACACUACUGACGCUGAGGCGCGAAAGCGUGGGGAGCAAACAGAAUUAGAUACCCUAGUAGUCC
This 274-nucleotide ribosomal RNA is filed under the name uncultured bacterium. RNAcentral describes it as "partial 16S ribosomal RNA". It matches the Rfam family "Bacterial small subunit ribosomal RNA", at positions 523 to 796 of the family's 1533-position model. The record is from RNAcentral.